Molecule: long non-coding RNA, 4232 nt
Organism: Ictalurus punctatus (channel catfish)
Lineage: Eukaryota; Metazoa; Chordata; Actinopteri; Siluriformes; Ictaluridae
Source: Ensembl
GGGCAAUACUUGUAUGUGUAUGUACACUAGGUGGCAGUGUGGCAUGUUUAAAACCGGAACUUACAGGAAAUGGAGUGAAAAAGGGGAAGAGCCAAAAACAAAGGAGGGUUGAUUAGAAAUAAUGAAGAUGAACUUUGUUUAUGGACGGGAAUGAUCACGUUGUGCGAAGUGUUUCCGAAGCCUGUAGCGUUUCUGAAGUGCUUUCACUCAUCUGUAUUAGCGCUAAGUGUUCCAUGCAUCGAAGCACCAGUGUUCCCAUUCACACACUCACAGCAUCAUGGAUGCCUUAGAACCUGCGGGCUGGUUAAAUUAUGAAAAUGACCGUUAUAACGACAGCUACGUUAUUUAUCUGUUAAAAAACAACACUACUGACAGCCAAAUUGUUCGAUGUUUUGUGCCGAGCGCGUUUAUCCUACUGAUUAGGAAGAUCGCAUUGAUAAACACCAACGCCAAAAACAAUACCGGAUUUGAGAUUCAGCCUUUGGUUUUAGCUGUAGUCUGCAUCUCCAGAGGACUCGCACUAGCAUUUAAUUUGCAUACCGUCACGUUUUGACGUCAUAAACCAUUUUUGAGUGAAACUAUUGGGACGGUUUGUACAGACAACAAAUCCGUCUUCACCGUCCGGAUCCACUUCAUGGAAAACCUCGACGUUACCAACAAUCCGUCCUCUCUCGAGCACUACCCUGUGACUCGGUGAAUUAGCAGGAGUAGGGGCGGACACACUCUUUAAAAUCAACAUUUUCUAACCAAUCAGAAUCAUGAAUUCAUUGUUGCUGUGGUAAAUGGUAUUUAUUUACAUUAAAAAAUAAUAAAAAAAAGUUUACAGGAGUCAAUAAGGUCAAAUUAAUGAUGUAAAAGAACACUUUGUAAUUUCUUUGCUUCUAUAAUUACACAAGCGUAUUAAAAAUGCACGUUUCCUCCAUAUAAACAGCAGCUAGAACUAUCCCAGAAGACCUGAAAGAUACGGUCUCGUAUUUCUACAAACUUUUCAUAACUACCUUCCUUUUUUAAAAAAAAAAAUAUAUAUAUAUAUAAAAAACUAAUUUACCAAUACAACUUAUUUUAUGAGUAUACCGUAUAUACAAUUUCAUAAUAUACAUAUGAGCAAGAAUAUUUUAGUUUACAAGUCUUACAGCCCUGAUUAAGUUAGCAAAACCUUACGUAAUUGAACUUGCUUUGCUCUUUGCAUCUUGCCCGCACGGCCUCUGUAAAACUGCGUCAUGUGAUUUAACCACAUGGUGUCACCGUUAAGGCUUAGCAAUAACAAUGUUAGCUUACGCUUGUUAGAGACCAUGACUCAACACAGGCUGCAGUCCAUCCAAAAUCGGUGACCGGAUAAGGAGAGCGUUCGUCAGAGAAGCGAGCAAAAGGUCAAGGGUCAAGCGAUCCACCUCUCAUAGGGGAGAAAGUUUUCACAGGACCUACCACACCCCGGACACGCCACAAAGCCGGGCUACGGAAGAGCGAGCGGGUCAUAUGGGAUCCCUUUUAGAGAGCCGAAGACUCGGCAAACGUGUGUAAAAUGCUUCUCUAGUCUGAGUCGCCGCACAAAAGCACUACAGUUGGUGGAAACUCGGCAAGAACGCCGUCCCUACAGUGAAGCACGGUGGCGGUAGAGUCACGUUGUAGAACGGUUUAAAACGAUCGACAUACUUACAAUACGUCUGAAUGGCCCAGUCGAAGCGGAGACUGCAAUCCGAUUCAGAAUACGUGGCAAGACUUGAAAAACGGUCUCUAUCCAACAUGGCAGAGCUUUUUGAAAUGAAGAAUGGAGAAAAAUAUCAGGAUCCAGAAACAUAUCCCAAAAGAUCUGAGGCAGAGAGGUAUUGACACGGGGUGCUGGGUUUUCUGUUUGUUUGGUUACUUGUUUGUUUAUUAACCUUUGGGUGAGAAUGAAAAAUGAUUUACCUUCGAAUGUUAAACCUUUUGUGUGAAGUAACAUUUCGGGGGUGGGGGGUUGAAUGAUUACACAAGACACUGUAUUUAAAUGAGUGCUACAGCUGAUGGAAAUCAGGAGAAGAUCUCGCGUGUACAGUGUUUUUUAAACUGACAUUUUCCACAGCGUGUGCUGCAGCUUUAGCACAGAACUGAAAGCGAGCCACUGACAAAAUGGCAUUCCUCCUCCUCCUCCUCCUCCUCUUAGCUAACUGCUAGAUGGAGAGAAUUACAUAAGGACACACACUCUGUCCAUGCCUCUAAUCCAAAUCAGGAAAAUACUGCUAAGCACACAGACACGCUGGCAACCGAGCAGCAAUAAUGUCACACAAAUACUGUCAGGGUUAUUCAUGCCAACUAAGUCGAAGUUUCAUCAUCAUCUAGGUUCUGCUAGGUCAUGACUCCAUUUGUGCCACAUUUACACAUGGUUACCAGUUGCUCAAUAUGUAGUUUGACCUCCGUGUUGUAUUACCUAGACUGAUUUAGGAAGGGUGAACAGAGUUAGGACAGUUUUUUUUUCUGCACCGCCUAGUCUACUGAUCAGCCUUUUUUUCUUCUUCUUCUUCUUCUUUUCUAAGUUUGGACAGUGUGCCAGAACCUGCAUUAUAUAACGUUUACCCGAUUAAUCACCCGAGCUACAACGAAUCAAGGCUUUAUGAUGAUGAUCAAAACUAAUCCUGACGCGUUGAUUUUUCUUUUUAAUCUUAACCAACGCCCCACCUCGAGUGACUCGAUUCCGAGUCGAUUCAUUUCCUAUCGCCUUUCCUACACGCACCAAGCAAGAUUCAUUUCGCAAACUGAACACACCGCGGAGGAUGAGAUGAGCUUAUGGAAGAAUGUAAAAGUUUAUAUGUUAUUAUUUAUUUAUUUUCUACUAAUAGCUCACCUUUUCUCGGCGUGUCUCACUCCGCCGGCGUCUCCGAUCAGCUGGCGAGAAGUGACGCGAUUUGUAACAGCUGGCUUCUGCUGCCUCAACGUCAAAGGUUACGGAUGACGAGCGACUUCCGUAGCUUCGACUCCAGCCAAUAGCGCGCAAGUGAAGGGGCGGGCUCAAUCUCUGCUAACCAAUUGGAAUCGUCGUUUUUCCAACGACGGUUCAUAUUCUGCCCAAUGGGACGCGUGUGAAAGUUUCCGAACGCGAAAGUUCUUUAGGGUGAGGCUUCAAGGCCUCGAGAAACCGUGUAAUAAUUAAAGGUGUAAUCGUCAAUCGUUUUCGUUUCUUAUUAAUACAAAUAAUAUUUACAUUAUGUUAAAAAAAAUGAUUUUUAAAAAAAUAGUUUACGACAUUUACGUAGCUGGGGGGGGACAUGGCUUCCGGUCCGGAAUGUUUGUUUAUAUUUAGAUUAACCUCUUGUCAGUCAUUUUUAUAGACACGCCCCCAAAACCCCUUCACAACUUCUGAGUCACAAUUCGCCUACUAUCCGUCCUAAAUAGUAUUCGAGGUUAGAAUUUCAUGACUAGUUGAACCACUAUGGCUGCAUAUACUUAUGUACUAUAUAGUAGGCGAAAAGCGCUACGCCAGAGGGGUAGUAUAUCCGAAUUCUAAGUAUGCGAGAAACAGUAGGUGAGAAAUCCCCGGAUGGCGUAUUGCUUCCGGCGAGAUUUUGCGGUAUGCAACCGAUGGACACUAUGCGAGUCAAACAAUCCCACAAUGCAACGGGACUGGCGCGGACAAGCUCAGAAAAAGAAGAAGGGGAAAAAAACGCGGAAGAUAGCAUCGGCUCUUAUGUGUUAAAUCUUGGUUAAACCGGACUUGUUUAACAAUACCCGAAUAAAUCGUUAACUCGUUUAAGAUUUGUGUUUAUGAUGACAUCGAAGGUCACAUGACAAUGCUAACAUGGUGGAUGUAGAAUGCCCGGGAUUGUAGUCAUAAUACACAUACAUACUGAUUAGUACGUACUGUUUCAACGGCAAUGCAGUACAUUUCGUACGCACCCUAUACGUUUUGGUGUACAUACAUGGGUAGAAACUGGACGUAAAAAAAAUAUCAUUCAAAUCUUAUUCAACCCCACCCAUUUAACAGUUAGAGGCCUUUUUCUGUUACACAUCUUCCUUAAUGCACCUUUAAAGUGAUUGUAAAGAAACUAAUUUUAUUUGUAGGUCUGUAGACACUCUCACACGUAGACACAGCUCUACAUCCCAGCGUAGAUUGCUUGCGUGGUUUAAGAUCAGAUUAGAUCGAUGGUAAAAUCUGGGGCUGGAUUCACAAAACAUUAUUAAGAAUAAAAUUCUUCUUAACUGCCAUUUCCUUCUUAUUUCCUAGCUUAAGAAAAAAAUGAAGAAUAUUUUGAAUUCCC